GCAGACAGCCCGGCGAACCGCGCAAUGCGCUUCUUCUGCCUGCAGCAGAGAAAAGGAAAGAAAACUCCGCAGGGGCUCCGUUGGCUUCUCCACGAGUGACAACCAUGUUUUCCCAGAUAGAAGACCGGAGCCCUGCUCCUUUGCGAUCCGCCGAGGGCUGCAGAGAGCAUCCUCAUCCAUUUGGGCACCCCUGCCCAGGAAGAGCCCGGCCAUCCCUUUCCGGACUGGAUCCUUAAGAGGUGAAUUUUCUUCCGUGGAUUCCGAUUUGCUCCGUCUGACCAGCCUAGGCAAUCCAGCAUCGCGUGGUACCAGUGCCGCUGGGCACACUGGCUUCACGCCGGCUCCGCCUCACCAGCAAGCGCAUUCCCAGGUGGUCAGGCUCAGGAUGGACCAUGAGCUUUCAAAAAGGAAAAAGGUGGAAAUCCUCAACUAUGCUGCCAUCUGAAUAAGUGUUUCUUUGUAGAUGCACAGAGUCAAGGAAAAUUACAUCCCUGCAUUAUACCAAUGUCACCAACUUUUCCUAAGCUUUUUCUGGAGGAAAUUCGCAUUUGAAUUGAUGGACUGAAUAAAGCAGAUUGCAGUCCCCAGUGUGGAUGGGCUUGAUCCAGUCUUCUAAGGACCCAAAUAAAAUAGGUGGAGGAAGCUUGAAUUUUCUGCCUGACUGUGGCGCUGGGACACCCAUCUUCUCCUGCCCUUGAACUGGGACUGACACCAUCAGUGCUCCUGGUUCUCAGACCUUCGGACAGCAGACUUGGGGCCUUCUCGGCCUCCAUUAUUGUAGGAGAAAAUGAGACACUGAGUGGGACUCAGGGAUUGCUCCAGGCCACACAGUCAGCAGGAGGCAAAGCCCAGAUUCAAAUGCAGAUUACUCAGCUCCACAAUCCACAUCCUCACAGGAGGCUGCACUCCUUGCCCAAGCGUCAGACAGGAGCAAAGAGAAAGAAGGCAACCAGCUGGCUACUUUCUUCCCUUCUUGGAUGCCUCCAACAGGGUGAGAAGGACUAAACAAAUGACCAAGUGUCAUCCCAUUUUGGACAUACUUAAAACACCCCAUGGAAUUUUUAUUCUGACUUUCUUCUGCCUGUGUGGCAUUUAUGUUUAAAUAAAAGAGAAUUCAACUCG
This 1122-nucleotide long non-coding RNA is filed under the name Homo sapiens (human). Its description in RNAcentral is "DPPA2 upstream binding RNA". The record is from RNAcentral. Lineage: Eukaryota; Metazoa; Chordata; Mammalia; Primates; Hominidae.